GCCAGCAGCCAUAUCACCCUGCAACUCACAACUGGCACCCCCCUGAAGCUAAGCAGGUGUGAGCCUGGGUGGUACCUGGCAAGGAGACCUCUUGGGAAAACCUAAGGUUGCUGCAGAAA
Molecule: ribosomal RNA, 119 nt
Filed under: Lepisosteus oculatus (spotted gar)
Lineage: Eukaryota; Metazoa; Chordata; Actinopteri; Semionotiformes; Lepisosteidae
Source: RNAcentral